AUUGAACGCUGGCGGCAUGCCUUACACAUGCAAGUCGAACGGUAACGCGGGGCAACCUGGCGACGAGUGGCGAACGGGUGAGUAAUGUAUCGGAACGUGCCCAGUAGUGGGGGAUAGCCCGGCGAAAGCCGGAUUAAUACCGCAUACGACCUACGGGUGAAAGCGGGGGAUCGCAAGACCUCGCGCUAUUGGAGCGGCCGAUAUCAGAUUAGGUAGUUGGUGGGGUAAAGGCCUACCAAGCCUACGAUCUGUAGCUGGUCUGAGAGGACGACCAGCCACACUGAGACUGAGACACGGCCCAGACUCCUACGGGAGGCAGCAGUGGGGAAUUUUGGACAAUGGGCGCAAGCCUGAUCCAGCCAUGCCGCGUGCGGGAAGAAGGCCUUCGGGUUGUAAACCGCUUUUGUCAGGGAAGAAACGCUCUGGGCUAAUACCCCGGGGUAAUGACGGUACCUGAAGAAUAAGCACCGGCUAACUACGUGCCAGCAGCCGCGGUAAUACGUAGGGUGCAAGCGUUAAUCGGAAUUACUGGGCGUAAAGCGUGCGCAGGCGGUCUUGCAAGACAGAUGUGAAAUCCCCGGGCUCAACCUGGGAACUGCAUUUGUGACUGCAAGGCUGGAGUGCGGCAGAGGGGGAUGGAAUUCCGCGUGUAGCAGUGAAAUGCGUAGAUAUGCGGAGGAACACCGAUGGCGAAGCAAUCCCCUGGGCCUGCACUGACGCUCAUGCACGAAAGCGUGGGGAGCAAACAGG
Molecule: ribosomal RNA, 750 nt
Filed under: uncultured beta proteobacterium
Lineage: Bacteria; Pseudomonadati; Pseudomonadota; Betaproteobacteria
Description: bacterial SSU rRNA
Rfam family: Bacterial small subunit ribosomal RNA
Source: RNAcentral